AUGGGGGUGAUGUGAGCACCCCAAGAUCAUGGGGACGAUGUGAGCACUCCAAGAUGGGGGAUUGUGUGAGCAUUCUGAGGACAUGGGGGUGGUGUGAGCACCCCAAGAACAUGGGGAUGGGGUGAGCACCCCGAGAUGGGUGAUGGUGUGAGGACCUUGGGGACAUGGGGAUGGUGUGAGCACCCCAAGAUGGGUGAUGCUUUGAUCAUUCUUGGGACACGAGGGUGAUGUGAGCACCCCAAGAACAUGGGCAUGGUGUGAGCACCCCAGGAAUGGUGAUGGUAUGAGCACCUCAAGAUCAUGGGGAUGGUGUGAGCACCCCAAGAACACGAGGAUGGUGUGAGCACCCCAAGAUGGGUGAUGGUGUGAAGACCUUGCGGACAUGGGGAUGGUGUGAGGACCUUGGGGACAUGGGGAUGGUGUGAGCACCCCAAGAAUGGUGAUGGCAUGAGCACCCCAAGGACAUGGGGACAGUAUGAGCACCCCAAGAUGGGUGAUGGUGUGAGGACCUUGGGGACAUGGGGAUGGUGUGAGCACCCCAAGGGUACGGGGUACCAUCCCCAAGAUGGGGGAUUCUGUGAGUGAGUCCUGGGGAGGGAGGCAGAGGAGGAGAAGAGUGAGAUGAACCACGAUACCUCUUGUUGGAUCCAGGGUGGCAAUAAGGCACUGGGAACCACAACGGGGUACUUGAAAAUUACUCUGAUGAUGGCACGGGAUCCUUCUGGGCUCUCUUUCACUUUGCUUCUGAGUAUCUGGAGAUGAAAAGUGACUCCAAAAGUGAUUCCCGAGCUGGAACGAGAAGCAAUCACUUCCAAACUCAAAGAAAGGCACUGAUGUUCUGCCUGGAACUGUUAUUGCUCUCCCUGCAGCAGGACGGGGCCAUGGUGGGGGGGGGAAGGAUGAGACCUGGUCCCAAGAGGUGCCCCCAAACCCAACGUGAGAUGCUGGGAUGAUGGCUGCAGGAAGCAUGGAGUGUUAGGGUGCUCUCCCACCCCCCACUCGGCCACUCAGAGCUACUGGGAGCCAUUGGGAGCCACUGGGAGCCACCAAGAGCCACUAAGAGCUAAGAGGGGCCACUGGGAGCUACUGGGAGCCAGUGAGAGCCAUUGGGAGCUAUUGGGAGCCACCAAGAGAUACUAAGAGCUAAGAGGGGAUACUGGGAGCUACUGGGACCCUUUGGGAGCCACUGGAAGCCACUGAGAGCCACUAAGAGCUAAGAGGGGAUACUGGGAGCUACUGGGAGCCAUUGAGAGCCAUUGGGAGCCACCGAGAGCCACCAAGCGCCACCAAUGGCUAGGAGGGGCCACUGGGAGCUACUGGGAGCCAUUGGAAGCCACUGAGAGCAAUUGAGAGCCACUGAGAGUCACUGAGAGCCAUUGGGAGCCACCGAGAGCUAUGGGGGGCCCUCGGGAGUGUGAGAGCAAUUGAGAGCCACCAAGAACCACCAGGAGCCACUCAGAGCCACUGAGAGCCUUUGAGAGCCACUGGGAGCGACUGGGAGCCACUGAGAGCUACUGAGAGCUAUGGGGGUGGGGGGCACUGGGAACCACUGAGAGCCACUGGAAGCCACUGGGAGCGACUGAUUGCUACUGAGAGCAACUGAGAGCCACUGAGAGUGAUCAAGAGGGGGGCUAUGGGGGGGCCAUUGGAAGCCACUGAGAACAACUGAGAGUCAGUGAGAGCCACUGAGAGCUACUGGGAGCCACUGAGGGCCACUGAGAGCUAUUGGGAGCCAUCAAGAGCUACAGGGGGCCACUGGGAGCCACUGAGAGCAAUAGAGAUCCACCAACAGCCAUCAGGAGCAAAUGAGAGUCACUGAGAGCCACUGGGAGCCAUUGAGAGCCACCAAGAUCUAUAGGGAGGGGGCACUGAGAGUGAUUGAGAGCCACUGGGAGCCACUGAGAGCCAUUGGGAGUGAUUGAGAGCCACUGAGAGGCAGCAAGAGCUAUGGGGGGACAUUAGGAGCCACUGAGAGUAACUGAGAGCCACCAAGAGCCACCGGGAGCCACUGAGAGCAAUUGAGAGCCACUGGGAGUCACUGAGAGCUACUGGGGGCCACUGAGAGUCACUGAGAGCAACUGAAGGUCAGUGAGAGCCACUGAGAGCUACAGGGGGCCACUGGGAGCCACUGAGGGCCACCAAGAGCUUCGGGGGGCCAUUGGGUGCCACUGGGAGCAAUUGAGAGCCACCAAGAGCUACUGGGUGCCACUGAGCGUGAUUGAGAGCCACUGGGAGCCACUAGGAGCCACCAAGAGCCACCAAGAGCCACCGAGGGCCACUGGGAGUCACUGCGAGGUGCCGACAGCCAUUCAGAGCCCCUGGGGGAUGCGUGGCUCCAUCUGGGAUGUCCCAUCCCGAGUUGGGUUCCAUGAGGACCGGGAGACGCAGCACCGGACAGCGGCGAGAAGUCACCGCUGUUAUCAGAACCCACCAACAAUGGGAGAUCCCUUACAGCUCGGCCAGGGCAGCCCCGCAGCUUUCAGAGAGCUCUGAACAACCAGCAAGGAGAACGGAGCCGCCCAGAAAAGGUUUUUAAUAGUCGACAUCUGUCCAAACAGAUGGGGAAAUAAUAAAGAGACGGGGGGAGAAUGCGCCCUUUACGCGGAGAUGCCCCCACAGCUCCCACGGAGAGACACAAAAAGACAUUUUGCACGCAGUGCAUCUCACCAACAUCUUUAUACACAGGCUGGGAAAAGGCGACAGGUAACAGUCAUUGGGAAAGGGUCAACCUUUGUACAACGCUCGAUGGAGAGGUCGGAGCGGUACCGUAAUGCCCUUCCAGCAGUGAGGUAAGUGAGCUCUGGGUGAGAUAAGUGAACACGUUGGGGCUUCGUUGCUCACGAUCCAUCCGGCAGGAGGUUUCUGUGCAUACGUACGUAGCAAGAGCUGCUCGGGGUCCUGGGAACGGCCCAUCGGAUGGCACCGCCGGCAGCUGCCACGGAGGGAAACCAUCACCCAGAGGUCACCUCCUCACUCCCUGCGGCCUGCCAACUUCAGCCACACCACCGAAACGCAUUUGCAGAGAUGGUUUAACGCACGGCGUGUGCUUCUGGAGGCUCCCGCUUCAGCUCAGACCUAUAGAAACGGUGCAUAAUCCUGGAGAGAAGCUAAGGCACUGUCCAUAAUUAGCUAACGACGCACGGCUGCCCCGACCGAAGGUUUCUUUUUGCAAUUUGCCAUGCAGAGGUAAAAUCGCAGCCCAAACCCUCCUUGUGAACGGUUUUGGAACCUGCCAACCCUGUGCUCAGAGCUCGCAGCGCCCGGCUGGGCCGUGGCACGCUGUAAUAAGAGGGAUUGAUCACCUACGUGUGGGUUGGAGAGAGGACCUCACCUCUCCGGGGACCAGCAAUGGGAUUCCAGCCCGGAACUCAACGCUACACUUUCCCCCCAGGUAUGGAGAGGGAAUGCAGCACCGGCAAUCUGCCUUCGCUGCUCUUAGUGUGCAGCGAGGAAGAAUUCAAGCACGAGGUCCAAUUAAAAACCAAAGCAAAGAGAAACGUUGAUUCGACCCCC
This 3513-nucleotide long non-coding RNA is filed under the name Gallus gallus (chicken). Its description in RNAcentral is "lncRNA (ENSGALG00010007625.1)". Lineage: Eukaryota; Metazoa; Chordata; Aves; Galliformes; Phasianidae. The record is from RNAcentral.